RNAcentral lists this ribosomal RNA (956 nucleotides) under Antechinus minimus maritimus. Its description in RNAcentral is "partial 16S ribosomal RNA". It matches the Rfam family "Bacterial large subunit ribosomal RNA", at positions 200 to 2014 of the family's 2925-position model. Lineage: Eukaryota; Metazoa; Chordata; Mammalia; Dasyuromorphia; Dasyuridae. The record is from RNAcentral.
AUCUAAUCAACUCUUCAAAACAUUUAUAUUUAUAUCUUAGUAUAGGUGAUAGAACAGAUUUAUUCUUAGGCACAAUAGAGAGAGUACCGUGAGGGAACGUUGAAAGAUCUUAUCCUGUAAGCAAUAAAAAGCAAAGAUUAAAUCUUCUACCUUUUGCAUAAUGAUUUAGCUAGUCUACCCGGACAAAAAGAAUUAAAGCCCGUCUUCCCGAAAUUAAGUGAGCUAUUGUAGAACAGUUAUUAGAACGAACUCGUCUAUGUAGCAAAAUAGUGAGAUGAUUUUACAAUAGAGGUGAAAAGCCUAUCGAACUUAAUGAUAGCUGGUUGUCCAAAAAGCGAAUUUUAGUUCAACUUUAAAUUUAACCCAAGUACUAAUAAACCGAAUUUAAAUUUAAACGUUACUCAAAAGGGGGACAACUCUUUUGAUAUGUAAACAAACUUGCUUAGUGGGUAAUGAUAUAUACACAACACAUUGUAGGCCUAAAAGCAGCCACCAAUUAAGAAAGCGUUAAAGCUCAAACUAGACUGUCAUUUAAUACCAAUCAUUUAUCAAAACCCCUAAUCCAAUAUUGGACAAUUCUAUUAAUAUUUAGAAGAUAUAAUGCUAAUAUGAGUAACAUGAAUAUAUUCUCCUUGCAUAAGCAUAAAUACGACCGGAACAACCGCUUACACUUAAUCAACCAAAUAACUAUACCCACAUACAAGCAUCCUAUUACCCUUAUUGUUAACCCAACUCAGGCAUGCAUAAAAAGGAAAGAUUAAAAGGAAUAAAAGGAACUCGGCAAACAAAACCCCGCCUGUUUACCAAAAACAUCACCUCUAGCAUUCACCAGUAUUAGAGGCACUGCCUGCCCGGUGAGUUAUGACUUUAACGGCCGCGGUAUCCUGACCGUGCAAAGGUAGCAUAAUCACUUGUCUCUUAAUUGGAGACUAGUAUGAAUGGCAUCACGAGGGUUU